Molecule: long non-coding RNA, 542 nt
Filed under: Homo sapiens (human)
Lineage: Eukaryota; Metazoa; Chordata; Mammalia; Primates; Hominidae
Description: HSALNT0050788
Source: RNAcentral
GUGGCAUCACAGGCCCCCGGGAUUUAGAAUUCUUCUGAAAGGCAUCCUGUGCACUCCCGAGCACCAGCUUGAACAGAUGAAAAGGCUGAGCUGGAGGGGCUGGGACACAGUCCACCUUGACGACAGCUGCUCCUGGCUGUGCGGGGGGCCCCAGGAAAGGCCGUUCCCCCACUAGGACCGCCAGGCCCUACAGAGGCUCAAACUCCUUUGCUGUUUGGAAUCUUCCCUCCCCAGCCCCCAAGCCUCAUCAGAGGCUGCCUUUUCUGUUCACUGACCACAGCUGCUUUGACUCCAUUAGCCUCGAGCUCCUGGAAGAAAAGAAAGAACCUUGUUUUCCCUGGGCUCAAUGCCAAGAGACCAUGGGCAGUUGCUCAAGAUUCACUUGUGAAACUCCGGAUCUCAGGAGGAGGGAAGCUUGGGACAAAUACCGAGCCUCCCACCCCCACUCCAACUCUGUUACUGAGCACUUUACGGAAGGAGCAGGUGCAACAGGUGGGACCUCACCUGUUCUGAUGGGGGCUGCCAUUUCUGCCCCUUCUGGA